UGCCAGACUCCUACGGGAGGCAGCAGUGGGGAAUAUUGCACAAUGGGGGAAACCCUGAUGCAGCGACGCCGCGUGAGCGAUGAAGUAUUUCGGUAUGUAAAGCUCUAUCAGCAGGGAAGAAGAUGACGGUACCUGACUAAGAAGCCCCGGCUAACUACGUGCCAGCAGCCGCGGUAAUACGUAGGGGGCAAGCGUUAUCCGGAUUUACUGGGUGUAGAGGGAGCGUAGACGGCGGCGCAAGCCAGAUGUGAAAGCCCGGGGCUCAACUCCGGGACUGCAUUUGGAACUGUGUGGCUGGAGUGUCGGAGAGGCAGGCGGAAUUCCUAGUGUAGCGGUGAAAUGCGUAGAUAUUAGGAGGAACACCAGUGGCGAAGGCGGCCUGCUGGACGAUGACUGACGUUGAGGCUCGAAAGCGUGGGGAGCAAACAGGAUUAGAUACCCCAGUAA
RNAcentral lists this ribosomal RNA (447 nucleotides) under uncultured bacterium. RNAcentral's name for it is "bacterial SSU rRNA". It matches the Rfam family "Bacterial small subunit ribosomal RNA", at positions 329 to 793 of the family's 1533-position model. The record is from RNAcentral.